AGAGUCAGAAGGAGAAGUGGACACCCCAAUAAACAGAGAACCUGAGGUGGGGCUCCAUCCCAGGAACCUGGGAUCAUGACCUGAGCUGAAGGCAGACGCUUAACUGACUGAGCCACCCAAUAUCCUAAGACUAUACUUUAUUUUUUUUUAAGAUUUUUAAUUUCUUUCUUUAAUUAGAGAGAGAUCACAAGUAGGCAGAGAGGCAGGCAAAGAGAGGGGGAAACAGGCUCCCUGCUAAACAGAGAGCCCGAUGCGGGACUCAUUCCCAGGACUCUGAGAUCAUGACCGGAGCUGAAGGCAGAGGCUUAACCCACUGAGCCAAGCAGCCGCCCAAGACUGUACCUUUUGAGACCAGUUUAAGGUUUGCAGUGAAACUGAGAGGAAGGUACAGAAAUUCCCCAUUCAUUCCCUGACUCCAUACUUGCAUACCCUCCCCCAUUAUUAUUAUUCCCCAUACUAUGUUUGUUAUAAUGAUGAACCUGCAUUGACACAUCAUAGUCACCCAAAGUCUACCGUUUACAUUUUGGUUCCUCUGGGUGUUGUACAUUCUGUGAUGUGGGAAAAUGCCUAAUGACUGCAUCCGUCAUAUGGCAGCAUAUAGAGUGAUUUCACUGUCCUGAAAACCCACUGUUCUCUGCCUAUUCAUCCCUUCUUUUUCCCAGCCCCGGGAAACUACCAGUCUUUUUACAGUUUCCAUAGUUUUUUCUUUUCCAGAAUGUCAUAUAGUUGGGACUCUACAGUUGUAGCCUUUUCAGAUUGGUCUUUUCCAUUUAGCAAUAUGCAUCUCAGUUUCCUCCAUUUUUUUUUUCAUGGCAUGAUACGUCUUUCUUUUUAGUGCUGACUAGCAUUCCAUUGUCUGGAUGUACCUCAGUUUACCCAUUCACCCACUGAAGGACAUUUUGUUUGUUUUCAAGUUUGGGAAAUUAUGGAUAAAGCUGCUAUAAACACCUGCCUGCUGGGUUUUGUGUUUUCAGCUUAUUUGGGUAAAUACCAGGAGUAUGGUUGCUGGGAUGUCCAGUAGGAGGUGGUUUAGUUUUGUAAGAAACUGCUACUGCUGCCUUGUGUUCCAAACUGGUUAUACUAUUUUGCAUUCCAGGGAACCAGGAAUGAGAGUUGUUCUACAUUCUUGCCAGCAUGUGGUGUUGCAGAUGCUCCAGAUUUUUUCUAUUCUACUAGGUGUGUGGUGGUAUCUCACUGUUUUACUUUGCCUCUCCCUGAUAGCAUGUGACCUAAAGCAUUUUCUCAUCUGCUUAUUUGAUAUCCGUGUAUCUUCUUUGGUGAGAAGUCGGUUAAAACCUCAACUCUACAGUCAACUAAUCUUCGACAAAGCAGGAAAGAAUGUCCAAUGGAAAAAAAGACAGCCUCUUCAAUAAAUGGUGCUGGGAAAAUUGGACAGCCACAUGCAGAAAAGUGAAAUUGGACCAUUUCCUUACACCACAUAAAAAUAGACUCAAAAUGGAUGAAGGACCUCAAUGUGCGAAAGGAAUCCAUCAAAAUCCUUGAGGAGAAUACAGGCAGCAACCUCUUCGACCUCAGCCGCAGCAACAUCUUCCUAGGAACAUCGCUAAAGGCAAGGGAAGCAAGGGCAAAAAUGAACUAUUGGGAUUUCAUCAAGAUCAAAAGCUUUUGCACAGCAAAGGAAACAGUUAACAAAAUCAAAAGACAACUGACAGAAUGGGAGAAGAUAUUUGCUAACGACAUAUCAGAGAAAGGACUAGUGUCCAGAACCUUUGGCCCAUUUUUAAUGGGGUUGUUUAUUUUCUUAUUGUUGAGUGAUGAAGUCCCAGUGUUUUAGUGUCUUAGGUCUCUGAACUGUGAACUUCAUAAUGUGUCCGGAAUUUUCUGCACCACUCAGGGGGAACAGGAUGACUACAGCAGACUGGAGCUGGAAUCUCCCUCUCCCCUCCCCAGGUCCAUUGGGUUGUGAUAAUAUCUCAGCAGGUUAGGCUCUGACUAACUAGCUUCUCCUGAGGUCAGGCCUUGUGAAGCAGAACACAGAUGAACUGGUUUAUUCUUAAUUGGUUUCUUUUCUCCUCCCCCAGCCAGAGCACGAUUUUUUCCUCUGAUAUUUAUUAUGGGAACCUGGUCAAGCCCUGAGAUGUAAAUUUUAGCAGUAUUUUGCCUCCCGACCCCAUAACUGGGUUCCUGUAGCGUUUUUCUCUCUCAGAGGUGUCCUUGCUGAGUGUAGCAACUCUUCCGUUCCAGCUCAGGCUUUAUUACCCUGUCCCUGGUGCCCACGGUGCUGUCCACGAGUGAAUCACAGCUCAGAACACAUGGAUACCAAUUUCCAGGACACUACCUAUGGAGUAGUUUGUCUUCUGCUCACAAGUGACUCUCUCAAGUUUGUUUAUAAACUGGUUUAAUUCAAGGUCUGCUCUUCACUUCCACUAGGCUGUUUGUGUAUUUCUGCACCAAAGAAGCCAUGAUAUCUAUUAGGUCAAGCCUUUACACUUCAUUUGUACCUUCUUGACUCUAACUCUUCUACUUAAAUUGUCAAAUAAGUCUUCUAAAUUUCACGGAAAAUCCAGUUCAGAAUUUGGAUGAAGUUUCAUGGACUCUGUAUAUUAAUUUUGGGAUAAAUGACAUAUUUGAAACACUGGGUCUUGUUAUAUAUGAAUAUGUAUCUUUCUUAAUUUAUGUAUUUUAAAAUAUAUUUCAAAAAAUAUGUAUUUAUCUUAAGAGAAUUGACCAUCUUAUGUUAAGGUAAUUUCUAAUUACCUAUGUUUGGUUCUGCAAAUUGUGUUUUCUGUCUAACUUUUGUGUAUUGAUUUUGUAUAGUUACUGAACUAAGUUCUUUUAUUAAUUUGAAUAAUUUAUUACAUUCUCUUGGGUUUUUAAUGAAGAUAAUCCUGUCUCCUGCAAAUAAUGAGGUUUUUUCCUAUUUUUAUUCUUACAUAUUUUAUUUCAUUUUCGUAUUUUCAUGUGUUUUCUGGAUCCUCUGUUCAAUGUUGAGAAUGUAUGACAAUAGUGGGCAUCUUUCUUUUAUUCCUCUCUUUAAAGAGAAUGAUUUUACUAUUUCACCAAUAAGUAUGAUGUUUCCUAUGAAAAGUUUAUAGAUAUUCCUUGCCAGUUAGGAAAGUUUCCUUCAACCCCAAGUUUGCUGAGAAUUUCCAAUAUGAAUGAAUAUUGUGUCCAUCUUACUUGCAAAAAGGUGAGAUGAUUUUAUGAAUUUUUAUUUUGUUAAUUUAUAUUAAUAAUUUUUAAAAUUUCAAAUUUAAAAAUUUUAAAAAUGCUGACUCUUAUUUUUUGAGUAAAGCCAACUUAGUAGUAUUUGAUUGCUGGAUUGAGUUUGUCAAUAUGUUGCAGGAUUUUUGCAUCUGUAUUUAUAAUAGAGACUGAACCUACAAUUUUUCUUGUGAAACUUUCUUUAUUGGGUUUUGGAAUCAAGAUUCUAAUAGUCUCCUAAAGCAAGUAAAAAAGAAGUAUGUCAUUAUUUUUUAUUUUCUGGAAGAAUUUAUGUGAUAUGGGAAUUAUUUCCUCCUUACAAAUAACAGUGUAUUGAUUUUGUGUAGUUACUGAAUGAAGUUCUUUUAUUAAUUUGAAUAAUUCGUUACAUUUUCUUAGGUUUUGAUUUGCAAGUAGAUUCUGUAAAAUUUGUGGUUACACAAAGGACAUGGUUUUUGUUUUUUGUUUUUUUUUUUUUUUGUGAGAAGACAACGGUCUAAUUGUUUUCAGUAAUUAUAAGAUAACAUAGGUCUUUUAGUUCUUUCAUAAGUCCACUUGUGUAAGAGACAAUUUCCUGGAAAUGUGCUGAUCUCCUGUAAGUUAUCUCAUUUAGUAUUGUCUACACUUCACUAUUGUUAGAGCUUUUAUUUCUUCUGAAGCUUUGCUAAUAUUGUUUGUAUCUUUCCCCUUUUUCUUUGAUCAAUUUUGCCUGAGAUAUCUUUGUUUUUUCAAGAUCAGAUUUGUUUUUGCUUCUCUCCUUAUUAUAUCUUUAUUUUCUACUUUAUUAAUUUCUGAUUCUAUCUUUAUCACCCCCUACUUUUUGGUUUAUUUUGUCAGUAUUCUUCUCAGUUGAGAUAGCUGCUUGAUUUUCUAAUACAAAAGCCUUAUCACAUAAGGCUAUAAAUUUCUCUCUAUAAGCUAUAUUAUCUGUAGCCUACAUGUUCUGAUAGAAUUUUUCAUGAUAAUAAAAUUUUCUAAUAUUUCUUUUGAUUGCUUUCUGUUUAGAAGUGUUUUCAAAUUUCUAGAUUCUUUUCAUAAUAUUUUUAUGAAAGACUUCAAACUUAAUUUUACUGUAGUUACAGAAUGUGAUUCAUAGUGAAUCUUCCAUAUUUGUUAAAAGUAGUUCUAUAACUUUUUCAUGGUUUCUGUCUACCGGCAUUAAGUAUCAUCAGUGCUUGAAAGUAAUGUAUUGCCUCUAAUUGUUUUGUGUUUUAUUCUACAUUAUACCAUUAGUUUAAGCCUGUUAUUUGUAUUCUCAAGGUUUUUUAUACCUUAGUGAUUUUGGAGGGUGUCUGUUUGAUCUAUGGAUAAAGAUUAUGUCUAAAAAUUACUCACUAUAAUUUGUCCAUCUCUCUCUGUUAAUUUUUACUGUAAACAUUUUGAAUUGUGAAAUUCAGUGCAUGAGAGUUCUUAAUCAUUAGACAGUUGACCUCUAACUGAAAGAAUCCUUUUUACCUUAAGGUAAAAAGCUAUUUUUUUUUUCUGCUAUUCAUAUAGUCACAUUAAUUUUUGUUCACCCUUUCAUUAAAAAAUGUUUGUAUCUUA
Mustela lutreola (European mink) is the source of this 4710-nucleotide long non-coding RNA. RefSeq lists it as uncharacterized. The record is from RefSeq and is a predicted model, not a curated record. NCBI's taxonomy places the organism in Eukaryota, Metazoa, Chordata, Mammalia, Carnivora, Mustelidae. The transcript has 2 exons.